ACGCUGGCGGCGUGCCUAAUACAUGCAAGUAGAACGCUGAAGGAGGAGCUUGCUCUUCUGGAUGAGUUGCGAACGGGUGAGUAACGCGUAGGUAACCUGCCUGGUAGCGGGGGAUAACUAUUGGAAACGAUAGCUAAUACCGCAUAACAGUAGGUGUUGCAUGACAUUUGCUUAAAAGGUGCAAUUGCAUCACUACCAGAUGGACCUGCGUUGUAUUAGCUAGUUGAUGGGGUAACGGCUCACCAAGGCGACGAUACAUAGCCGACCUGAGAGGGUGAUCGGCCACACUGGGACUGAGACACGGCCCAAACUCCUACGGGAGGCAGCAGUAGGGAAUCUUCGGCAAUGGACGGAAGUCUGACCGAGCAACGCCGCGUGAGUGAAGAAGGUUUUCGGAUCGUAAAGCUCUGUUGUAAGAGAAGAACGAGUGUGAGAGUGGAAAGUUCACACUGUGACGGUAUCUUACCAGAAAGGGACGGCUAACUACGUGCCAGCAGCCGCGGUAAUACGUAGGUCCCGAGCGUUGUCCGGAUUUAUUGGGCGUAAAGCGAGCGCAGGCGGUUAGAUAAGUCUGAAGUUAAAGGCUGUGGCUUAACCAUAGUACGCUUUGGAAACUGUUUAACUUGAGUGCAAGAGGGGAGAGUGGAAUUCCAUGUGUAGCGGUGAAAUGCGUAGAUAUAUGGAGGAACACCGGUGGCGAAAGCGGCUCUCUGGCUUGUAACUGACGCUGAGGCUCGAAAGCGUGGGGAGCAAACAGGAUUAGAUACCCUGGUAGUCCACGCCGUAAACGAUGAGUGCUAGGUGUUAGACCCUUUCCGGGGUUUAGUGCCGUAGCUAACGCAUUAAGCACUCCGCCUGGGGAGUACGACCGCAAGGUUGAAACUCAAAGGAAUUGACGGGGGCCCGCACAAGCGG
This 915-nucleotide ribosomal RNA is filed under the name uncultured bacterium. Its description in RNAcentral is "bacterial SSU rRNA". It matches the Rfam family "Bacterial small subunit ribosomal RNA", at positions 33 to 932 of the family's 1533-position model. The record is from RNAcentral.